CACUUGAACUCGGAAGGCUGAGAUCACGCCACUGCACUCCAUCCUGGGUGACAGAGUGAGACUUUGUCUCAAAAAAAAAAAAAAAAAAAAAGGAAAAAAAGAAAAUUGCUAAGAGGAGACAUCAAGUGUAGUGGCAUUCUUACUAACCCCUGAGGACCAAAUAGGAUUCUUGCUGAACGCAAGCUAGGGUGAUCGGGUAUUGCCUGAGGGAUGGUGAGGGACGAGAAAUUUAAUCAGAUAUCCAGGGUGAUUAGACAUCAAGGGUGGAUGAUGGUCUGUAAACUGACAGCAGGAUUUUCCUUAAAAUUGAGCUUUGCAGGCCCAGGAGAUUGUGGACCAAGGUCAAGGCCUAGUGAAAAAGAGCGCAGUGAGGAGCUUGACUCCGUUGUGGUUAAGAGGAAAAAUUAUUAGCAUUUUAACAAUAUUUGGACUGUUUCUAGAUUGGAGGUAUUUUGAAUGAAGCUGCUGUGAAUAUUCAUGAACAAUGUACAAGUUUUUGUAUGGACAUAUGCUUUCUUUUCCUUUGCUUGAAUGCCUAAGUGUGAAAUGGCUGGAUCACAUGGUACAUACAUGCCUAAUUUUUAAAGAAGCAAUCAAACCACUUUUGAAAUAGUAGUAAUAUUUCACAUAACCAACCAUAGUGUAUAAAACUGCAGAAGUUCCACAACAUUAGCAACACUUGGUGUCAUCAGUCUUGAACUUUGAACAUUCUAGUAAGUGUGUAGUGGUACAUUUGUAAAUUUUGCGUCUAAUAAAUUAUAUACUGUAAUUUAAUUUCUAUUUCCCUAAUGACUAAUGAGAUUAAGCAUCUUUUCAUGUGCUUAUUUGUCAUUUUUAUUUAUAUCUGAUUUAGUGAUGUCUCUGUUAACAUUUUGCCAAUCAUUUUAUCAGGUUAUUAUCAUACCUUUAAAGUAUUUUAUGGAAUCUGAAUACAAAAAUCUUUAUUAAACAUGUGACUUAAAAGUUGCUUCCUUAACUUUGUGGCUUGACUUUUCAUUCUCUUAAUGCUUUUCAAAAGGCAGGAGUUUUUAUUCUUAAAGAGUUUAAUAUAUAUGUACACAUAUAUAAGUACAUGUCUUUACACACACACAUAUAAGUAUGUAAUUUUUAAUUUUAUGGAUCAUGAUUUUUGGUGUCAUAAGUAGAAAUACUUAACUCAAAAAUUUCUUUUCUACAUUUUCUUCAAGUUUCAAAUUUUACAUUUAGGUACAGGAUCUCUUUUAAAAUAAUUUUUCUAUACAGUGUUAAACAUAGAUUGAAAUUGCUAGUUCAAUAUUUUAUUUUCAAACGUGUAUCUAAUUAUUCUAGCACAAUUUGUUGAUAAGAUUAUACUUUCUCCAAUUAAACGAGUUGACCAUAUAUGUGUGGCAAUAUUAUGGGAUGCUCCAUUCUGUUCCAUUGAUUGGUUAGUAUAACUUAAGGCCACUAUCAUUUUAUCUUGAUAACUGUGGCUUUAUAAUAAACCAUGGAAUGAAGUCAUUUUAGUUCUCCAACUUCAUUCUUCUUUUUCAAAGCUAUUUUAGCUAUUCUGGCUCUUUUACAUUUCCAUUUGAAUUUCAGAAUCAGUUUGUCAAUUCCUACAAAAUGUCUGCUGAGAUAUUGAUCAGAAUUGAACUACAUCAAUAGAUCUAUUGGGGGGACUUGACAUCUUAGCAAUAAUUAGACUUCUAACUCAUGAAUGUGGUAAAAGUCUCCAUUUAUUCGUUUUUUUACCUCAAUAUUUUGUAAUAUUCACAUAUGUUGUAAUAUUUAUACUUAAAUAUUUUGUUGUUGAUGUUAUUAAAAACCAUAUUAUUCUUUACAUUCUAUUCCUUUUUUAUUGCUAGUAUAUAAAAAUACAACUUGU
RNAcentral lists this long non-coding RNA (1846 nucleotides) under Homo sapiens (human). Its description in RNAcentral is "HSALNT0027710". The record is from RNAcentral. Lineage: Eukaryota; Metazoa; Chordata; Mammalia; Primates; Hominidae.